Molecule: long non-coding RNA, 706 nt
Organism: Clupea harengus (Atlantic herring)
Lineage: Eukaryota; Metazoa; Chordata; Actinopteri; Clupeiformes; Clupeidae
Source: Ensembl
GUAAACGGGGUAUAAGACUUAGCCUUAAUGCUUUGUUUGGGGUUGUCUUGAGGAUGAAUCUAUCCCGAACCUGAUUUCAUGUGAAUGAAAUUCUAUCGGAUCUGACUUCUGAAACGCAACCUAUGGUUCUUAGCAUAUCUCAACAUGCUAACAUGCUUUACAAGUCUAGUUUUAGUCUGUAGCCCUUUGCUAACUUCAUAGCUAACAUUAUCUAUAUUUAAAAUCUGCAAGAGUUUAACUGAAAUAUUUUUUCCCCUCAGGAAGAAACGUCCAGAGAGACUCAACCAAGGACGCGACAAUGCUGGUUCUGGUACUGUGCCAUAAUGAGGGACACGUCCAGAGACACUCGUCCAUGGACGCGACAUUGCUGUUUUUGGUCAUGCCGGCCUUCUGAGGUGCAAACUUGCGCCUGUGGUCCCACAUUGUGGUAAAAGCUUUUCUCAGUGGUGGAAGGAGCUGCAAAGCUCCACACAUUCUGUUCUCUUAAUAUUUCCCAAAGCUUCAGUUCUGAAUGUACUAGGUUUAAACGAAAUUCAUAUGGAUUUAGAAAAAAAAUAAAAAUUUUACUGUCUGCUAUUCCUAACAUAGACUAUGUACAAAACACUUUCUAUGUAAUUGUUUGUUCAAUUAAAUAAAAGUUUUAAAUUCACUGGUAUUUUAAUUCUGACUUCAUUACUUCUGUAUUAUGUAGCCUCAAUCAGGGCAU